UGGGGAAUAUUGCACAAUGGGCGCAAGCCUGAUGCAGCCAUGCCGCGUGUAUGAAGAAGGCCUUCGGGUUGUAAAGCACUUUCAGCGGGGAGGAAGGCGGUGAGGUUAAUAACCUCAUCGAUUGACGUUACCCGCAGAAGAAGCACCGGCUAACUCCGUGCCAGCAGCCGCGGUAAUACGGAGGGUGCAAGCGUUAAUCGGAAUUACUGGGCGUAAAGCGCACGCAGGCGGUCUGUCAAGUCGGAUGUGAAAUCCCCGGGCUCAACCUGGGAACUGCAUUCGAAACUGGCAGGCUAGAGUCUUGUAGAGGGGGGUAGAAUUCCAGGUGUAGCGGUGAAAUGCGUAGAGAUCUGGAGGAAUACCGGUGGCGAAGGCGGCCCCCUGGACAAAGACUGACGCUCAGGUGCGAAAGCGUGGGGAGCAAACAGA
RNAcentral lists this ribosomal RNA (429 nucleotides) under Chloroflexota bacterium. RNAcentral describes it as "Chloroflexi bacterium partial 16S ribosomal RNA". It matches the Rfam family "Bacterial small subunit ribosomal RNA", at positions 355 to 776 of the family's 1533-position model. Lineage: Bacteria; Bacillati; Chloroflexota. The record is from RNAcentral.